AGAGUUUGAUCCUGGCUCAGGAUGAACGCUAGCUACAGGCUUAACACAUGCAAGUCGAGGGGAAACGACAUCGAAGGCUUGCUUUUGAUGGGCGUCGACCGGCGCACGGGUGAGUAACGCGUAUCCAACCUGCCCACCACUUGGGGAUAACCUUGCGAAAGUAAGACUAAUACCCAAUGACGUCUCUAGAAGACAUCUGAAGGAGAUUAAAGAUUUAUCGGUGAUGGAUGGGGAUGCGUCUGAUUAGCUUGUUGGCGGGGUAACGCCACCAAGGCGACGAUCAGUAGGGGUUCUGAGAGGAAGGUCCCCCANAUUGGAACUGAGACACGGUCCAAACUCCUACGGGAGGCA
RNAcentral lists this ribosomal RNA (351 nucleotides) under uncultured bacterium. Its description in RNAcentral is "bacterial SSU rRNA". It matches the Rfam family "Bacterial small subunit ribosomal RNA", at positions 8 to 350 of the family's 1533-position model. The record is from RNAcentral.